UACGGAGGGAGCUAGCGUUGUUCGGAUAUACUGGGCGUAAAGCGCACGUAGGCGGCGCAGCAAGUCAGGGGUGAAAUCCCCGGAGCUCAACUCCGGAACUGCCUUUGAAACUGCAGUGCUAGAAUUCUGGAGAGGCGAGUGGAAUUCCGAGUGUAGAGGUGAAAUUCGUAGAUAUUCGGAAGAACACCAGUGGCGAAGGCGACUCGCUGGACAGACAUUGACGCUGAGGUGCGAAAGCGUGGGGAGCAAACAGG
RNAcentral lists this ribosomal RNA (254 nucleotides) under uncultured bacterium. RNAcentral's name for it is "partial 16S ribosomal RNA". It matches the Rfam family "Bacterial small subunit ribosomal RNA", at positions 524 to 776 of the family's 1533-position model. The record is from RNAcentral.